Long non-coding RNA from Mustela erminea (ermine), 249 nucleotides. RefSeq lists it as uncharacterized. NCBI's taxonomy places the organism in Eukaryota, Metazoa, Chordata, Mammalia, Carnivora, Mustelidae. The transcript has 3 exons. The record is from RefSeq and is a predicted model, not a curated record.
UCAUUGUCUUCUUGUGUCUCAGUACUGCUGACGAGACAGUCAAAUCCAUUCUGAUUCCUUGGCAGUGUGCGUUCCCGGCCAACCUGGAUUCAGUGCAGAAGGGGGACUCCCUCAUGGCCUGAGUGUGCCUCACUGGGGACCAUCGUUGGAAACCAGCUUACGCAGCCCUGCAGAGUGACAGGGGUCCAGGAGUAUCUGGAACAGAUGGUUCGGCCGCCUGACGACGUUAGCCGCCCACACAGGCUACAG